UGCAUGUUCGAAUAUGUUGUUUUUCAUUUGUGUCCUAACUUUUGGCUGAGUUCAUUUGAGAUCCUCUGGGUGGAUGAUUUUUGCUUUAUUCAUAAUUCUUGUUUAUUAGAAAAGCAAACCCCAUCACCUCUCCUCAUUCCCCCCUCAGGUUUAGAGUUACAAAAGUGGAGCACAAGUCAAACCAGAAGGAACGGAGAAGCCUGAUGUCUGUUAGUGGGGCUGAAACCGUCAAUGGGGAGGUGCCGGCAACACCUGUGAAGAGAGAACGCAGUGGCACAGAGUAGCAGCAAUGACUUGACUUGAAGAGCUCUAAGAGACUGAAAACUUAUAUGAAGUUGCCUUGGGAAUAUUUUUAUAUAUUUUAUACAGUUUCUAUCAUGGAGUCAGCAGGCACGUGGAGAAAACCUAAAAGGGAAUAUUAUUGCUGCGCCGUAUACAGAAUUCAGUUUGCUUUGAAACAAGUUUUGGUUGAAAGAGUCUGUUGAAAAUUUUAUUAUACUUCCAGGGAAGGAAAGAGCUGUUUUUAUCUUCUUAACCACUCCCAGCCUCUACUCUUCCCAGCCCCUAAUCCCAGGCCUUGGUGUACACACUGUAGUUUUUCCAUUAUGAUGAGUAUGUGCAGUGAUACUAUUCAUGUACAGUCUGAGCUUAUGCUCAGGGGUGUGUGUGUAUAUGUGUAUACAUGUGUGCACGUGAGUGUGUGUUUCUUUUUCCAGUUCCUGCAUCCUAUUUUGACACUGGUUGUAAGAAGAUCUUGAUACAUACAGGUUAGCUGUUACAAAAGAUAAAAGAUGAAUCUUCAGUGGUAAAAGCUCAGUGGAAAUAAUCUAGUUUAGCCCUGAGGAGUUGAUUCCCCAAGGGACCAUGGAGUCAGAUGGGACCAGAUGCUAGACUUUGGAUUCCUUGACCACAACUUCAGCAUUAACUCCUGCCACCACCAUGUCACUCCACAGCACUUACACAUUUUGAGAAGGUUUUUUUUUUUUUUUUUUGAGGCAGAGUCUUGCUGUGUCCCCUAGGCUGGAGUGCAGUGGCACAAUCUCCACUCACCUCCAUCUCCACCUCCCCAGGUUCAAGCGAUUCUCCUGCCUCAGCCUCCCAAGUAGCUGGGAUUACAGGCAUGCACCACCACGCUCGACUAAUUUUUGUAUUUUUAGUAGAGACGGGGUAUCACUAUAUUGGUCAGGCUGGUCUUGAACUCCUGACCUCAGGUGAUCUACCCGCCUCGGCCUCCCAAAGUGCUGGGAAUAUAGGCGUGGGCCACUGCACCCGGUUUUUUUUUUUUUUUUUUUUUUUUUUUUUAACCUUUAGCUGAGCGAUUCUUGGUUAAUCCAUUGAAUAAAGGAGAAAAUGGUUUAAAGUCACACACACACAAAUUUGUUUGGACAACCCAAGGCCAAAACAAAAGAACCCUGCUUCUCUCUCUCUUUUUUUUUUUUUUUUUUUUUGAGGCGGAGUCUCGCUCUGUCGCCCAGGCUGGAGUGCAGUGGCACAAUCUCAGCUCACUGCAAGCUCCACCUUCUGAGUUCACGCCAUUCUCCUGCCUCAGCCUCCUGAGUAGCUGGGACUACAGGUGCCCACCACCACGCUCAGCUUAUUUUUUUUGUAUUUUUAGGAGAGACGGGGUUUCACCGCAUUAGCCAAGAUGGUCUCGAUCUCCUGACCUCGUGAUCCACCCGCCUCGGCCUCCCAAAGUUCUGGGAUUACAGGCGUGAGCCACUGCGCCCGGCCUAGAACCCUGCUUCUCAUAUAAGAUGGGCCUGCACCUACCUCUGGCAUGUUUUUCUUCGUGUAUUUCCUGUUUUUCACCCUGUAACUAAUGCUCAUUAUUUAAAACACUCCAGUUACUUUUCCCUUUAGGCCUGGCAAACUUUUUCUUUUUUUUUUUUUUAUAACUGUACAUUUUACAAAACACCUGAAAGGACCCAGAGGCAUAAAUAGUAUUACAUGAUUUAUGGUAGCUCUGGGGUGAGCUGUGGGGGAGGCCAGUUACAAGGUCUCCAAGACCUGCCUCCAUGUCAGUGUUGGGGGUGCCUUGAGCACUUCUUUUAUUUCAUAUAGGAAAAUGCACAUCUUUCAUUUGUCUCCCAAAAGAUGAUUUCCAUAAAAAUAUACUUCAAAGUAUUUACUGUACAUAGACUUCAAUGAUUUUAUUUCCAGCAUCAAACUAAACAUUUCUAACCUUUUAAAUAAAUGGGGAAUUUAGUUUCAUGAGAAUUUUUACUGACAACUAAUAAACACUGUAUGUGUACACAUUCAUAUACACUGUGGACUGGAGAAAGUCAGUAUGGAAAUAAAUUUCACUGAGAUCCAGAAAGUAGCAAUAUAGGACUUUUAGGGGUAUGUAUUAGUGUAAAUAAUAUAUGUGCAGUCUA
RNAcentral lists this long non-coding RNA (2375 nucleotides) under Pan troglodytes (chimpanzee). Its description in RNAcentral is "long non-coding RNA NONPTRT013000". The record is from RNAcentral. Lineage: Eukaryota; Metazoa; Chordata; Mammalia; Primates; Hominidae.